GGGUUGUGAGGUUAAGCGACUAAGCGUACACGGUGGAUGCCCUGGCAGUCAGAGGCGAUGAAGGACGUGCUAAUCUGCGAUAAGCGUCGGUAAGGUGAUAUGAACCGUUAUAACCGGCGAUUUCCGAAUGGGGAAACCCAGUGUGAUUCGUCACACUAUCAUUAACUGAAUCCAUAGGUUAAUGAGGCGAACCGGGGGAACUGAAACAUCUAAGUACCCCGAGGAAAAGAAAUCAACCGAGAUUCCCCCAGUAGCGGCGAGCGAACGGGGAGCAGCCCAGAGCCUGAAUCAGUGUGUGUGUUAGUGGAAGCGUCUGGAAAGGCGCGCGAUACAGGGUGACAGCCCCGUACACAAAAAUGCACAUGCUGUGAGCUCGAUGAGUAGGGCGGGACACGUGGUAUCCUGUCUGAAUAUGGGGGGACCAUCCUCCAAGGCUAAAUACUCCUGACUGACCGAUAGUGAACCAGUACCGUGAGGGAAAGGCGAAAAGAACCCCGGCGAGGGGAGUGAAAAAGAACCUGAAACCGUGUACGUACAAGCAGUGGGAGCACAGAGCAAUCUGUGUGACUGCGUACCUUUUGUAUAAUGGGUCAGCGACUUAUAUUCUGUAGCAAGGUUAACCGAAUAGGGGAGCCGAAGGGAAACCGAGUCUUAACUGGGCGUUAAGUUGCAGGGUAUAGACCCGAAACCCGGUGAUCUAGCCAUGGGCAGGUUGAAGGUUGGGUAACACUAACUGGAGGACCGAACCGACUAAUGUUGAAAAAUUAGCGGAUGACUUGUGGCUGGGGGUGAAAGGCCAAUCAAACCGGGAGAUAGCUGGUUCUCCCCGAAAGCUAUUUAGGUAGCGCCUCGUGAAUUCAUCUCCGGGGGUAGAGCACUGUUUCGGCAAGGGGGUCAUCCCGACUUACCAACCCGAUGCAAACUGCGAAUACCGGAGAAUGUUAUCACGGGAGACACACGGCGGGUGCUAACGUCCGUCGUGAAGAGGGAAACAACCCAGACCGCCAGCUAAGGUCCCAAAGUCAUGGUUAAGUGGGAAACGAUGUGGGAAGGCCCAGACAGCCAGGAUGUUGGCUUAGAAGCAGCCAUCAUUUAAAGAAAGCGUAAUAGCUCACUGGUCGAGUCGGCCUGCGCGGAAGAUGUAACGGGGCUAAACCAUGCACCGAAGCUGCGGCAGCGACGCUGAUGCGUUGUUGGGUAGGGGAGCGUUCUGUAAGCCUGCGAAGGUGUGCUGUGAGGCAUGCUGGAGGUAUCAGAAGUGCGAAUGCUGACAUAAGUAACGAUAAAGCGGGUGAAAAGCCCGCUCGCCGGAAGACCAAGGGUUCCUGUCCAACGUUAAUCGGGGCAGGGUGAGUCGACCCCUAAGGCGAGGCCGAAAGGCGUAGUCGAUGGGAAACAGGUUAAUAUUCCUGUACUUGGUGUUACUGCGAAGGGGGGACGGAGAAGGCUAUGUUGGCCGGGCGACGGUUGUCCCGGUUUAAGCGUGUAGGCUGGUUUUCCAGGCAAAUCCGGAAAAUCAAGGCUGAGGCGUGAUGACGAGGCACUACGGUGCUGAAGCAACAAAUGCCCUGCUUCCAGGAAAAGCCUCUAAGCAUCAGGUAACAUCAAAUCGUACCCCAAACCGACACAGGUGGUCAGGUAGAGAAUACCAAGGCGCUUGAGAGAACUCGGGUGAAGGAACUAGGCAAAAUGGUGCCGUAACUUCGGGAGAAGGCACGCUGAUAUGUAGGUGAAGUCCCUCGCGGAUGGAGCUGAAAUCAGUCGAAGAUACCAGCUGGCUGCAACUGUUUAUUAAAAACACAGCACUGUGCAAACACGAAAGUGGACGUAUACGGUGUGACGCCUGCCCGGUGCCGGAAGGUUAAUUGAUGGGGUUAGCGCAAGCGAAGCUCUUGAUCGAAGCCCCGGUAAACGGCGGCCGUAACUAUAACGGUCCUAAGGUAGCGAAAUUCCUUGUCGGGUAAGUUCCGACCUGCACGAAUGGCGUAAUGAUGGCCAGGCUGUCUCCACCCGAGACUCAGUGAAAUUGAACUCGCUGUGAAGAUGCAGUGUACCCGCGGCAAGACGGAAAGACCCCGUGAACCUUUACUAUAGCUUGACACUGAACAUUGAGCCUUGAUGUGUAGGAUAGGUGGGAGGCUUUGAAGUGUGGACGCCAGUCUGCAUGGAGCCGACCUUGAAAUACCACCCUUUAAUGUUUGAUGUUCUAACGUGGACCCGUAAUCCGGGUUGCGGACAGUGUCUGGUGGGUAGUUUGACUGGGGCGGUCUCCUCCUAAAGAGUAACGGAGGAGCACGAAGGUUGGCUAAUCCUGGUCGGACAUCAGGAGGUUAGUGCAAUGGCAUAAGCCAGCUUGACUGCGAGCGUGACGGCGCGAGCAGGUGCGAAAGCAGGUCAUAGUGAUCCGGUGGUUCUGAAUGGAAGGGCCAUCGCUCAACGGAUAAAAGGUACUCCGGGGAUAACAGGCUGAUACCGCCCAAGAGUUCAUAUCGACGGCGGUGUUUGGCACCUCGAUGUCGGCUCAUCACAUCCUGGGGCUGAAGUAGGUCCCAAGGGUAUGGCUGUUCGCCAUUUAAAGUGGUACGCGAGCUGGGUUUAGAACGUCGUGAGACAGUUCGGUCCCUAUCUGCCGUGGGCGCUGGAGAAUUGAGGGGGGCUGCUCCUAGUACGAGAGGACCGGAGUGGACGCAUCACUGGUGUUCGGGUUGUCAUGCCAAUGGCACUGCCCGGUAGCUAAAUGCGGAAGAGAUAAGUGCUGAAAGCAUCUAAGCACGAAACUUGCCCCGAGAUGAGUUCUCCCUGACUCCUUGAGAGUCCUGAAGGAACGUUGAAGACGACGACGUUGAUAGGCCGGGUGUGUAAGCGCAGCGAUGCGUUGAGCUAACCGGUACUAAUGAACCGUGAGGCUUAACCUUACAACGCCGAAGCUGUU
RNAcentral lists this ribosomal RNA (2932 nucleotides) under Escherichia coli. Its description in RNAcentral is "bacterial LSU rRNA". It matches the Rfam family "Bacterial large subunit ribosomal RNA". Lineage: Bacteria; Pseudomonadati; Pseudomonadota; Gammaproteobacteria; Enterobacterales; Enterobacteriaceae. The record is from RNAcentral.